GCAGACUCACUCUGUGCCUGACUGCAAUCUUCAGUCCAGGGGCUUUUUCAGUCUGCUAGAGUAAUGGUCCAGGGUGUUGAACUCUUCUUUCCUUGUAGAAGACUUGCAGUUGCUCCUGGGACAUAAUU
Molecule: small nucleolar RNA, 128 nt
Organism: Chelonoidis abingdonii (Abingdon island giant tortoise)
Lineage: Eukaryota; Metazoa; Chordata; Testudines; Testudinidae
Source: Ensembl